UCGAGUCACCGUGUAACCCUA
Molecule: non-coding RNA, 21 nt
Filed under: Arabidopsis thaliana (thale cress)
Lineage: Eukaryota; Viridiplantae; Streptophyta; Magnoliopsida; Brassicales; Brassicaceae
Source: RNAcentral